CCUACGGGCGGCAGCAGUGGGGAAUAUUGGACAAUGGAGGAAACUCUGAACCAGCAACGCCGCGUGAAUGAUGAAGGUCUUCGGAUUGUAAAGUACUUUUCUAAGGGAAGAAGAUAGUGACGGUACCUCAGGAAUCAGCCUCAGCUAACUACGUGCCAGCAGCCGCGGUAAUACGUAGGAGGCAAGCGUUAUCCGGAAUGACUGGGGGUAAAGGGCGCGUAGGCGGUUUGGCAAGUUAGUAGCGGAAACCCCGGGCGCAACCUCGGAACUACUACUAAAUCUGUCGGACUUUAGUGCAGAAGGGGCGAUUGGAAUUCCUAGUGUAGCGGUGGAAUGCGUAGAUAUUGGGAGGAAAACCAGUGGCGAAGGCGAAUUGCUGGACUGUAACUGACACUGAGGCACGAAAGCGUGGGGAGCAAACAGGAUUAGAUACCCCUGUAGUC
RNAcentral lists this ribosomal RNA (443 nucleotides) under uncultured bacterium. RNAcentral's name for it is "partial 16S ribosomal RNA". It matches the Rfam family "Bacterial small subunit ribosomal RNA", at positions 338 to 795 of the family's 1533-position model. The record is from RNAcentral.